Molecule: long non-coding RNA, 1104 nt
Organism: Salmo salar (Atlantic salmon)
Lineage: Eukaryota; Metazoa; Chordata; Actinopteri; Salmoniformes; Salmonidae
Product: RPA-interacting protein B
Source: RefSeq, a predicted model, not a curated record
AUGCAGCACCUUUUAGCAGCUGCCGCUUUGGCAUCAGUCAGCAAGUUCAACUUCUACCUGAGAGUGGAGCAUCGUUGCGUGGAUUGGUUGAGAAACAGCAGAUCCAGGCUACUGGAGAAGUACCGCCAAAUGGGAGAGAGUCAGCACUGUUUAAUUUCCCAAAUUAAUGUUGCCUGAAUGCAUUACACACACACACAGAAAACGGGACGAAAGCCCAAAAAUGAAUGGUUCUCACUGUGAAUAAUAUGUACUGUAUUUUGUCUUUAUACAGCGCUCUACAUCAUUGAUGAAAAUGAGAAAAGUAUGCAGUUUGAAGAGUUGUAUGUGUAUUCAGUUGUGGAAGAGAUGGUCGGGGAAAGGGAAAUCAUAUAGCAUGUAAACAACCUGACUGUGAACAGCCAUUUUACCUCCUGUCCCUGUGGGCUUUAUAUCAACACAAGGCAAAUGAACAUGACCGCAGAGGUGCUGCAGUGUCUGUUGGAGAGGAGGGUAACAGAACACAUGGAGGACUGUCACCAAAUCCCAGCCGUCUCCAUGGCCUCCAAUACAGACAGCUUGCCUAACCUCAUAAACUACCUGACUGACUGGGUUAAACACUUGGAUGCAUCGCAAAUGGCACCCUAAUCCCUAUAUAGUGCCUUAUUGGCCCUGAAUUGAUAUUUUCUUUCCUAUGGGCCCUAGUCAAAAGUAGUGUACUAUAAAGGGAACGGUGUACCAUUUGGGACAUAGGAAGACUGUUUAUCAUAAUGAAUUCUGUUUGGGACGUCAGCCAGGCCAUAACACGACACUUACCCAGUAUCACUACUCCCUCCACUUAGCAUGUUAAACAUUCCUAUUGUAUUCAUCUAAUAAAACCAUCAUAUUUUGAGAUUAAGUAUUAAGGGGUCCUUCACUAGAACUGGAAGUAGCAUUGAUUUAUAGAAUUGUUCAUUUAAGGUGUCAAACCAAUAACCCUUUUCUUCAAUGGUUAUGUAUUGACUAUCAAAUACUUGAAUGCAGAGUACAGCGACUAUGUGGACACUGACUGGAUCUUCAUUACUCCUUUUAUAAAAUGUCAGUUGACCAUGCUUGGAUACUAUCUGAAAUAAAAUCAUGCUAAAACCA